AGACUGAAAUUAGAUUAGCUCUGUUCCAGCAAGCAGUUUUGACUUUCUGCAAAGAAGGACUGUAAGAGUGUGGGAAUGAGCGUGUAAAUUUUUCCCACAUGACUUACUGCUUGUGCCCUUUUGUAGUAUCCCUUUAGCAGCUACUGCAUGGCAUGACCUUUUCAGCAUAUUUAUCAGUUUCAGCGUUAUGGACGACACAGAGGCUGAAAUAUAGCUGCUGGGAGGAUGAACUGAUCCAAAAUUGUUUUUAUUGCAGGGCUGCUUUGAAGCUCUUGCAUCCCGGUACGUGCAUCUGAAGCUCUGAUGCACAAAUAUAAUGCAGAACUCAAAUUCCACAUAAAGAAAUAGGUGCACUACCAAGACGCAGAUGAACUGAUGGACUGGCUCAGCACUUCUGCUCUUCACACUUGGAAGAUCAUGUGAAGACCAGGGAAAGUAAGGUUGUAUCCUAUAAAGACAGGUGGGGCUGAGAUGCGAGUAUGCCACAGUCCACUGUGGUACUGGAAGAAGGAAAAAUCUGAAGCCUAAAUCACCUAACUACAACCUCUAAUUUCUAAUUAGAGACAAGACUUCACAUUAGAUGGCAACACUUUUCUGAGAGCAGCUGUCAGAGUGGUCAGAUGGAGAUUUUCAACUAACCUUUUUUUCCCCCCUCUCAUCAAACAGAGCAAGGGAAAGGAAAACAUAUCUAAGUGGCUGUAACAUGUUCAGCUGAAAACAAGUGGCCUAAUUGUGGAAAGAGUUCCAGCUGAAAGAACCCAUUGUUCACCAUACCACAGAGUUUUAAAGAAAAAUAUACACCUUGGACUCCUGUAUGGUGUCAGUGACUUAAGUGUUGCUAUUUGAACCUAUUUUUAAAAGUUAUUUCUGAGAUGCAAUAGAGUUGGUUUAGUAAUCUAAUUUUUUCCCGCUCAUCUUCUGUUUUAUGGCUUACCCUGCAGGACUUCUUGUUUCCACUGUGACUCACUUACUGACAUCAACAUCUGUUUUAGAGCCUGCAGCCUUUCCAGAGCAGGAAUUUAUUUGGUAGUGGGUGCUAUGUCACCAAGGAUGCGAAAUCUAAGAUGUAAAGAGUGGAGAAAUUCUUAUUGUGUGCCUUCCUACAGCUUUAUUUUUGCAUUUUGUACAUGUAAAUAACACUCCCUUUUGCUGCUGGCUUUGUGUGUCUGUAUCAGAGGUCUGUUAAAUCUCCUGCUGAAUGUCAAGAUAAUACCUCAGUUAAGGCCUGUCCCUGCUUCCUGCUGGGACUUGCUACUUAGGGAGAUAACACUCUCUAAGAUACAGAAUAGGGCACAUUUUGAUUACAGAAUCCAGCGAAUAUUUCAGUUUUCCCUUAUCUCUACUGUUUGCUUGUUUCGGUCUCCAAUGGCUCUGUGAAUGUCUCCAUGCACACAAAAGGGAAUUCCCAGGUUCUGCAUUGUGCUCCCUGUAUAAAUGAAUUUUAAAGCGGGGAAGCUUACAUAUCAGUUUUGGUUUAUGUACUCUGCCAGUCCUGUGAAAGGCAGCAGGCUUCCAAUGGGUUUGCGUAUUGCUGUCCAGUGCCGUCUUACAAUGAGGAAACCAAGUAAAAAGAAAGCUCAAAGAUCUGAAAAAAUUUCUGGCUUUGUGAGGUGAGGCCCAUUGAGAGGGAGCUGUGUGUUAGUGAAAAUGGCUACUAAAUGACCAAGUACAAUAUAGUAUAUACU
This is a long non-coding RNA of Gallus gallus (chicken), 1685 nucleotides long. The record is from Ensembl. Lineage: Eukaryota; Metazoa; Chordata; Aves; Galliformes; Phasianidae.